This 253-nucleotide ribosomal RNA is filed under the name uncultured bacterium. RNAcentral's name for it is "partial 16S ribosomal RNA". It matches the Rfam family "Bacterial small subunit ribosomal RNA", at positions 524 to 776 of the family's 1533-position model. The record is from RNAcentral.
UACGUAGGUGGCAAGCGUUGUCCGGAUUUACUGGGCGUAAAGAGCGCGCAGGCGGUUAAUUAAGUCGAAUGUGAAAGCCCCCGGCUCAACUGGGGAGGGUCAUUCGAUACUGAUUGACUUGAAGGCAGGAGAGGGUAGUGGAAUUCCCGGUGUAGUGGUGAAAUGCGUAGAUAUCGGGAGGAACACCAGUGGCGAAGGCGACUUCCUGGCCUGUUCUUGACGCUGAGGCGCGAAAGCUAGGGGAGCAAACGGG